AAAAAUUGUCUGGUGUAAAUAUAAAGUCCUUUUCAUGGCAGUCACGUGGUGCAAAGGAAAAAAAAUCUUCUCCUACAUAAUUUGCAGAAGCUUUCAAAGACAAAGAAAACAACAGCAUGUGAAUGUUGUCAUAAAACAACAAAUGAUGCCAUAGCUGUCUAUUUCAUAUAUUUUGACUGCAAAACCAAUGCUGAAUGUUUUCCUCAUGCUACACUCUGUUCAAUGAAUUAUCACUCACACUUCCCUCGCUAAAUUAAAUUUAACAGAAUUUGUCAAAAACUUCGAAUCCAUUUUAAAUAUGGAUCCGAUAUUAAAUAAAUAUUAAAAAAUAUAAGUAGCAGAAUGUAUUACAAAAUUUU
Molecule: long non-coding RNA, 359 nt
Filed under: Gossypium barbadense (sea-island cotton)
Lineage: Eukaryota; Viridiplantae; Streptophyta; Magnoliopsida; Malvales; Malvaceae
Description: long non-coding RNA (GBAR_LNC018883)
Source: RNAcentral